Bombyx mori (domestic silkworm) is the source of this 4830-nucleotide RNA transcript. RefSeq lists it as uncharacterized. Lineage: Eukaryota; Metazoa; Arthropoda; Insecta; Lepidoptera; Bombycidae. The record is from RefSeq and is a predicted model, not a curated record. The transcript has 2 exons.
CAUAAGUCGAGUGGGCCAGACGGCAUCCCCGCAGUGGUUCUGAAAACGUGCGCCCCUGAGCUGACGCCUGCGCUAACGCGUCUGUAUCGCCUCUCUUAUUGCGCUAACAGGGUUCCGUCUUCAUGGAAGACCGCCCACGUCCACCCUAUCCCCAAGAAGGGUGACCGGUCGGACCCAUCGAGCUAUAGGCCUAUCGCGAUAACUUCCUUGCUUUCCAAGGUGAUGGAGCGAAUAAUAAAUAUACAACUCCUGAAGUAUCUUGAAGAUCGCCAGCUGAUCAGUGACCGACAGUACGGUUUCCGUCACGGUCGCUCAGCUGGCGAUCUUCUCGUAUACCUUACUCACAGGUGGGCUGAAGCCUUGGAGAGCAAGGGCGAGGCUCUUGCUGUGAGCCUUGAUAUCGCGAAGGCCUUCGACAGGGUCUGGCAUAGGGCACUUCUGUCGAAGCUACCAUCUUACGGAAUCCCCGAGGGUCUCUGCAAGUGGAUCGCUAGCUUUUUGGAUGGGCGGAGCAUCAUGGUCGUUGUAGACGGUGACUGCUCUGAUACCAUGACCAUUAACGCUGGCGUUCCACAAGGUUCGGUGCUCUCCCCCACGCUUUUCAUCCUGUAUAUCAAUGACAUGCUGUCUAUUGAUGGCAUGCAUUGCUAUGCGGAUGACAGCACGGGGGAUGCGCGAUAUAUCGGCCAUCAGAGUCUCUCUCGGAGCGCGGUGCAAGAGAGACGAUCUAAACUUGUGUCUGAAGUGGAGAACUCUCUGAGGCGAGUCUCCGAAUGGGGUGAAUUGAACUUGGUUCAAUUCAACCCGAUAAAGACACAAGUUUGCGCGUUCACUGCGAAGAAGGACCCCUUUGUCAUGGCGCCGCAAUUCCAAGGAGUAUCCCUGCAACCUUCCGAGAGUAUUGGGAUACUUGGGGUCGAGAUUUCGAGCGAUGUCCAGUUUCGGAGUCAUCUGGAAGGCAAAGCCAAGUUGGCGUCCAAAAUGCUGGGAGUCCUCAACAGAGCGAAGCGGUACUUCACGCCUGGACAAAGGCUUUUGCUUUAUAAAGCACAAGUCCGGCCUCGCGUGGAGUGCUGCUCCCAUCUCUGGGCCGGGGCUCCCAAAUACCAGCUUCUUCCAUUUGACUCCAUACAGAGGAGGGCCGUUCGGAUUGUCGAUAAUCCCAUUCUCACGGAUCGUUUGGAGCCUCUGGGUCUGCGGAGGGACUUCGGUUCCCUCUGCAUUUUGUACCGUAUGUUCCAUGGGGAGUGCUCUGAGGAAUUGUUCGAGAUGAUACCGGCAUCUCGUUUUUACCAUCGCACCGCCCGCCACCGGAGUAGAGUUCAUCCAUACUACCUGGAGCCACUGCGGUCAUCCGCAGUGCGUUUCCAGAGGUCUUUUUUGCCACGUACCAUCCGGCUAUGGAAUGAGCUCCCCUCCACGGUGUUUCCCGAGCGCUAUGACAUGUCCUUCUUCAAACGAGGCUUGUGGAGAGUAUUAAACGGUAGGCAGCGGCUUGGCUCUGCCCCUGGCAUUGCUGAAGUCCAUGGGCGACGGUAACCACUCACCAUCAGGUGGGCCGUAUGCUCGUCUGCCUACAAGGGCAAUAAAAAAAAAAAAAAAAAAAAAAAACAUUCAUCGUAUUUACUCCACUGAUUAGACGUGAUUGUUGAAACUUCGAGUACCUAUUGUAUUUAAUGACAGUGCUUAAUAAGUACAGUAUCUAUUGAUCAUAUCAUAAUCUGUUCGUCUAUAUAAGACUUUAUGAAACAGAACUGCACAACCUAAGGACUUUUUUUUAUUUUAAAAUGUAAUAUUUAUGUAUCGUUUUAUUGCCCAACAAAAAAACAAUUUUCGCAUGCGCAUAUGCGUGCGUGGUUUUUGUGGAUGUAAUGCGGGAUUUACAUUACGAAAUUAGUGUCAUGCAUGUUGAGCUCAGUUUCACGAAAGUAGUUUCGAUAUAUGCGAAAGUAAUUUCGUCAAAAAAUUAGUGUCGCGAAAUCCACAGUAUCGCAGUAACCAUGGCGCCAUCACCAUCAAAGCUAAAUUCUAUGCUAUAUGCUAUAUUCAAUGUAGCUAAAGAAAUGCUUAUAUACCUAUAAACUUAAAAAAAAGACUAUCAAGAAAAAAAAGGUUGGUAGAUUCGAGGAUGGUCAACAAGAAGGCAUUUAGGUGCAAUGAAGUUAGUCUCUGAAUUAGCAGAUGAAGAUCCUGAGAGUUAUAAAAACUAUUAUCGAAUGAGUGAAUAUAAUUUUGCUUUUUUACUCUGCUACAAUAGAACGACGCGCCUUUGAGUUCAACGUCCGAAAUGUCACGCAUGAUGUUGGUACACCCAUAGAUAAUAAAAGUCUUAGAGGCAAAAACGGACCCAGAUGUAGUGUCAUUUUCUUUUACUACAAUUUACGAUUAAACGAAUGAUUUAAAUAAAAAUUAUAUUGUAAUAUAGGAUAGAGUUGUUCUUUUUUCUUGUUCAUAUAUCGAUAAAUUGGUUAACACUGAUUUAUGUAAUAAUUAUCGACAUUAGAUAUCGAAUACCCAACACUCGAUCUUUGUAAAUUGAAAGUAAAUUUAAUAUUUGUUGAUUAAUUAUAAUUGAUGUAAAAAAGGCAAUCAAAAUGGAAAAUCAAACGUUAUGCUUCCAAUGUCGACAUUUAUUCUGUGUGCACAUUACGUUGUCCUUGACCAUGGACGCGUCAUGUAAGUAUAGGCGGUAUAGGUACUAACCGUAAGUCUAUGGUGAAUACAGUUUUAAAAAACAUCUAGCGUAGAUCACCCACGACAAACUUGGCGCGUCUUUUAAAUACAUCAGGACGCUACACCGGGCGUAUCUGGAAACAAUACGGAGCGCGAAGUGUUUAUCAUAUAAAAAUUAACACAAAUUAGCGAAAGUUUAAAGUCGUCACUUGCGCUGAUAUGAAUACUAAUUAUAAAAUGUUCUUUUGUUGUUCCAAAUGUUCCAAAAUAUGAAAAUAUGACAUGGAAUGUAUAUUAUUUACGAAAUAAUUUAAUCGGAAUCAUCCACUACUCAUAAAAUAACAUAAAAGUUUUUAAUAUUGUUAGCUUAAAAACUCAAGUUUUUUUGUGUGCCUGGUUUAUUUGAUUGUAGAUAUGUAUACUGUCUAUGAUGGUAGCCUUACUGUAGAUUCUGUUUUUUUAGUAACAUAGUUUGAGUAAUGUAGUUAAUUACCAAUGUUAAUCAUAGAUCUUACUUGAAAUCACGUUUUUUUUUUUUUUGUUUAUAGUAUAAUAUAAAUUGGUCUCAACAUUGGGAUUUGUGUUUGCUAUAAAACAUCGCUGAAAUUUAAAACAUUUUGUCAUAUGAAAGUUUUUUUUUUUUAUCUGUACUUAGGAAGACAACGAUCUGUCUAAGCCCAGAAACGCUUUAAGAAUUAAUUGGCUAAAUUUAACGAAAACGCAUAAUAUUUUAUUAAAUGGUAUUUUUAUCAAUGCGGUCUCAUUAAAGACUUAAAAGGAAAUGAUAAUGGAACCAUUGUUUAUUAAUAAAUUGGUUGGCGUGUAUACCUAUUUAAGCUUUAAACAGACUGACGUAAAGCGAUGGAUUCUCAAAUUGAGUGUAGACAUUGAUUAAUUGUUUAAUAUAGGUAACAGUUAUGUCGACAUCUUUAAAGAAUACAUUUGAAAAAUAUACAUUCAAUCAAUCAGGCGGGUGCGUGUUAGUUACACUUGCCUACGCUUUAGAUUGCUCACUCCGUAAAUGUAAACCUGAAACUGCAUGAUAUAAGUACUUGCUUGACUAAGGAAAAUCAAAUUGUUAUCAAUAAAAAAAAAAAAUUGCUUGGAUGGGUGGACGAGCUCACAGCCCACUUGGUGUUAAGUGAUUACUGGAGCUCAUAGACAUCUAUAACUUAAAUGCGCCACCCACCUUGAGAUAUAAAUUCUAAGGUCUCAGUAUAAUCAGUCACAACGGCUGCCCCACCCUUCAAACCGAAACGCAUUACUGCUUCAUGGCAGAAAUAGGCGGGGUGGUGGUACCUAUCCGCAAGAGGUCCUACUACCCGCAUACAUGUGUUAUUAGUAGUAACUUUAUAUUUGGUAAAUCUGGAAUGUGGCGCGCAGUUUUUGAUCGGUGAAACCAGCCGUUAUACAAAACCAACAGGUCAUAUGUUACAACGUGGGCACGUUGUAAUGUCUACAGAAUCAUUUAGAACAGCCGUCCGUCUUACGUCUUUAGCAAACUAAGUUUCUCGCCGGAUCUUCUUAAUGGGGCGCGUUUCCGAUCCGGUGGUAGAUUCUGCGAAGCACUGCUCUUGCUAGGGUCAGUGUUAGCAUCACUCCGGUUUGAGCCCCGUGAGUUCACCUACUAGUUAAGGUUACGCUGAAAUAGCCUCUCAAGGCUAUCAGCUUAGGUAGAAAAAAAGUCUAUGGCGUAAAUUUAAUUUCUCUUUAUACGCAGUUGCUUGGGUGUGCCUAUGACAUUGUCGAUAUUCAUGAGCGACGGAAACCAGUCAUCAUCAGGUUGGCCGUCGGCUUGACAAUGGCAAUAAAAGAGAUAAUACAAAUCAUAAUUAUCAAUGUCUAUGCUCAUUUGUGUAAUCAAUAGGUAAAUAAAACAAAUUAAAUUAGGAUUCACUAAAUUUACGAUACUAAAGUGCACACUUAUGUUUUGUUUGAAACAAUUGUUUUAAGAUACUUAAAUAAAAUGCUAAAAAAAUAUUUAUCGAAAUCUUCUUUAUUCGAAUGUACAUAAAAUUCGGCAGUCUUCAUUAAUUUAACUUAACAAGUAACGCUUAGAAAAUAGUAAUUUAAAAAAAUAAUAAUUGAAACAAACUGUAACAUGCACGAUACAGUAGCUUUAAUAUGUACAAAUUUUAUUAAAUGUUUUAAAAUAUA